AGGGAUUUAGAUGGGCAAUAGACAAUGACAUGUGGGAGGGAAGAGUCGACAGUCUAAGGCCUCUAUUCGAAGAAGCAAGGAUCGAUAUGGGGAAGGAUCAAAUCGACAGGGAAGUGGUCGAAAAGGUAAGUGCCUCCGCCUCCGGCUAAAGUUGAACAUGGGUCAGGUCUUAAAAACUUUUUUGUUAGGAGUGGAAGUCAGCAAGAAGAACACAAGUGGACUUUUGACAACUAUCUGUUCCAGCAGUGAAUUUGAAAGAGAAAUGAACUGUUCUGUUUCAGUUGCUGAAAUUUUAGUGAAAUCCAGUGUCUUUAGGGUAAUGUAUUUGAGGAAGAAACCAUAGGAAGAAAAAUGGGACCUUUUUCUUGUAUUACCUGCAUACUCCUAACUUGUAUAUAUAUCACGCAUUUUCA
Tarenaya hassleriana is the source of this 413-nucleotide long non-coding RNA. RefSeq lists it as uncharacterized. The record is from RefSeq and is a predicted model, not a curated record. The transcript is spliced from 2 exons. NCBI's taxonomy places the organism in Eukaryota, Viridiplantae, Streptophyta, Magnoliopsida, Brassicales, Cleomaceae.